CGUGUGGUGUCCGGCAUAGAUUCGGAUAGCGACGCGGCCCAAUUUGAGGU
Molecule: non-coding RNA, 50 nt
Organism: Vibrio anguillarum 775
Lineage: Bacteria; Pseudomonadati; Pseudomonadota; Gammaproteobacteria; Vibrionales; Vibrionaceae
Source: Rfam